UCGGGGACCGAAACUCCACGUCCCGUCAUGCUCCGGUCCAAUCGCGCCGCUGUCCUGGUCGUGACCGCGUUGCAUGCUGGGAGGCGUAGUCUCUGCCGGGCGGACGCACAGUCGUCAGGAGAUGGGACCAGAUGAGGAGCCUUUCACUGCAUGAAGACUAACAAAAGGAGAAACUGCACACAUUUCAGAGGAAUUGAGGGGGGCCCUGGGCCACUCGAGAUUCCCUGAGAAAACAGCUGAGGAAGACCACUAUAUAACCCUACUCAAAAGCUUCUUCCAACCCAGUCUCUGGCUGCAGCCUUUUCUGGUCUUCAACUAAAGGAGUCUGUUUCAGAGUUGUAUCACGAAAGCAUUCACCUUCAAAUGGCUUCUUGGAAAUGGAUGAAAAAUGGACUAUCUGCUCUCCCCCAAAUUUCCCUGAUCCCUUCAGGAGUCAGUUGGGGGCCCCUCUGUGUUGGUGCCUGUCUGUGGGCGUGGCAGCUGACGGGGGCAGGAGGGAGGCUGCUCUGUGUCUUUCCCCUUGUUUCAUGUGCUACUGUUCCUGAGGCCUGGCUUGAGAAAAGCAGGACAUUCGGUUUAGACAGAUGGAGGGCAGGGUCAUUUUCAAAAUGAAAUGAGUGCACAAAUCACACUGUGAAAUUGGCAUGACCAUCACUGCUGCUGUGAACACUGACUUUUAUUUAGUCUCUGAUAGGCAGUUGGGGAAUAGAUUAGCGUUUUUGGGGGGGAGGGUGAAAGAAGGCCCUUUAAUUAAUGAUAGAAAUUCUGGAAAGCAAUUAAUGGGAUGGAAUAUUAUAGAAUGUCAUAAAGGAUCAUUUUAUUUCCAACAAAAUCUUGGAAAGCUGAAACAUGUAUCAGUAAGUAAGUGCAUUGCACCAUUCCUAGCAAUAAGAAAGCAUUUGGAAAUAAAAUUAUUUGGUGCCUUAUUGAAAGGAUUUAGGCUUUGAGAAAAUGAAGUUGGACUCAGGGUAGAUUUUGCUGCAUAAAUGGAGCCAUGUUGACCAUAUAGAAGAAUUUCAUUUAGGCAAAAUGUAUAGGAGCUAAAAGCAUGAGGUUUGGUUCUUCGUGUGCUUAUGUUUCUCCCUGCCAAAACAUGAGAUGAUUAAAUCUCCUCUAAUUUCUAUUUGGCAUUCUCUUAUAAAGCUAAUUGGAAAUGACUGUUUCUUAUUUAUCUUGUAAAAAUAACCACUUCUUUUUAGUAAACAUUGUUUAUUUAUGU
Long non-coding RNA from Leptonychotes weddellii (Weddell seal), 1219 nucleotides. RefSeq lists it as uncharacterized. NCBI's taxonomy places the organism in Eukaryota, Metazoa, Chordata, Mammalia, Carnivora, Phocidae. The record is from RefSeq and is a predicted model, not a curated record.